UACGGAGGAUGCGAGCGUUAUCCGGAUUUAUUGGGUUUAAAGGGUGCGCAGGCGGCACGGCAAGCCGGCGGUCAAAUCGCGGGGCUCAACCCCGCCCAGCCGUCGGAACUGCCGGGCUAGAGUGGGCGAGAAGUGCGCGGAAUGCGUGGUGUAGCGGUGAAAUGCAUAGAUAUCACGCAGAGCUCCGAUUGCGAAGGCAGCGUACCGGCAUCCAACUGACGCUGAGGCACGAAAGCGUGGGGAUCAAACAGG
RNAcentral lists this ribosomal RNA (252 nucleotides) under uncultured bacterium. RNAcentral's name for it is "partial 16S ribosomal RNA". It matches the Rfam family "Bacterial small subunit ribosomal RNA", at positions 524 to 776 of the family's 1533-position model. The record is from RNAcentral.